UAUGAAGAACGUAGCGAAAUGCGAUAAGUAGUGUGAAUUGCAGAAUUCAGUGAAUCAUCGAAUCUUUGAACGCACAUUGCGCCCCUUGGUAUUCCAUGGGGCAUGCCUGUUCGAGCGUCAUUUGUACCUUCAAGCUCUGCUUGGUGUUGGGUGUUUGUCUCGCCUCUGCGUGUAGACUCGCCUCAAAACAAUUGGCAGCCGGCGUAUUGAUUUCGGAGCGCAGUACAUCUCGCGCUUUGCACUCAUAACGACGACGUCCAAAAGUACAUUUUUACACUCUUGACCUCGGAUCAGGUAGGGAUACCCGCUGAACUUAAGCAUAUCAAUAAGCAGAGGA
This 337-nucleotide unclassified non-coding RNA is filed under the name soil metagenome. Its description in RNAcentral is "partial contains 5.8S ribosomal RNA, internal transcribed spacer 2, and large subunit ribosomal RNA". The stretch from base 2 to 120 matches the Rfam family "5.8S ribosomal RNA", at positions 36 to 154 of the family's 154-position model. The record is from RNAcentral.